CCUACGGGUGGCAGCAGUAGGGAAUUUUCGGCAAUGGGGGGAACCCUGACCGAGCAACGCCGCGUGAACGAAGAAGUUAUUCGUAAUGUAAAGUUCUUUUAACAGGGAAGAAAGAGAACUUUGACGGUACCUGAAGAAUAAGCUCCGACUAACUACGUGCCAGCAGCCGCGGUAAUACGUAGGGAGCGUGCGUUAUCCGGAAUUAUUGGGCGUAAAGGGUGCGUAGAUGGCAUAGUAAGUCUGUGGUAAAAAUGCGGGGCUCAACCCAGUAGGGCAAAAGAUACUGAAGAGCUAGAGUAUGACAGAGGCAAGUGGAACGACAGGUGUAGCGGUAAAAUGCGUAAAUAUAUGUAAGAACACCAGUGGCGAAGGCGGCUUGCCGGGUCGAUACUGACAUUGAGGCACGAAAGCGUGGGGAGCGAACAGGAUUAGAUACCCGUGUAGUC
RNAcentral lists this ribosomal RNA (446 nucleotides) under uncultured bacterium. RNAcentral describes it as "partial 16S ribosomal RNA". It matches the Rfam family "Bacterial small subunit ribosomal RNA", at positions 338 to 795 of the family's 1533-position model. The record is from RNAcentral.